RNAcentral lists this ribosomal RNA (305 nucleotides) under uncultured bacterium. RNAcentral's name for it is "partial 16S ribosomal RNA". It matches the Rfam family "Bacterial small subunit ribosomal RNA", at positions 505 to 807 of the family's 1533-position model. The record is from RNAcentral.
ACAGCAGUCGCCACGGUAAUACGAAGGUCCCGAGCGUUGUUCGGAAUCACUGGGCGUAAAGGGAGCGUAGGCGGCGUGGUAAGUCAGAUGUGAAAUCCCGGGGCUCAACCCCGGAACUGCAUCCGAUACUGCCGUGCUAGAGGAUUGGAGAGGUAGCUGGAAUUCUUGGUGUAGCAGUGAAAUGCGUGGAGAUCAAGAGGAACACUCGUGGCGAAAGCGAGCUACUGGACAAUAUCUGACGCUGAGGCUCGAAGGCCAGGGUAGCGAAAGGGAUUAGAUACCCCCGUAGUCCCUGUCUCUUAUAC